Molecule: ribosomal RNA, 497 nt
Filed under: uncultured bacterium
Lineage: Bacteria
Description: partial 16S ribosomal RNA
Rfam family: Bacterial small subunit ribosomal RNA
Source: RNAcentral
GAUGAACGCUGGCGGCGUGCCUAAUACAUGCAAGUCGAGCGAACGGACGAGAAGCUUUCUUCUCUGAUGUUAGCGGCGGACGGGUGAGUAACACGUGGAUAACCUACCUAUAAGACUGGGAUAACUUCGGGAAACCGGAGCUAAUACCGGAUAAUAUUUUGAACCGCAUGGUUCAAAAGUGAAAGACGGUCUUGCUGUCACUUAUAGAUGGAUCCGCGCUGCAUUAGCUAGUUGGUAAGGUAACGGCUUACCAAGGCAACGAUGCAUAGCCGACCUGAGAGGGUGAUCGACCACACUGGAACUGAGACACGGUCCAGACUCCUACGGGAGGCAGCAGUAGGGAAUCUUACGCAAUGGGCGAAAGCCUGACGGAGCAACACCGCGUGAGUGAUGAAGGUCUUCGGAUCGUAAAACUCUGUUAUUAGGGAAGAACAUAUGUGUAAGUACCUGUGAACAUCUUGACGGUACCUAAUCAGAAAGCCACGGCUAACUACGUG